This 254-nucleotide ribosomal RNA is filed under the name uncultured bacterium. RNAcentral describes it as "partial 16S ribosomal RNA". It matches the Rfam family "Bacterial small subunit ribosomal RNA", at positions 524 to 776 of the family's 1533-position model. The record is from RNAcentral.
UACGUAGGUGGCAAGCGUUGUCCGGAAUUAUUGGGCGUAAAGCGCGCGCAGGCGGCCUCUUAAGUCUGAUGUGAAAGCCCCCGGCUCAACCGGGGAGGGCCAUUGGAAACUGGGAGGCUUGAGUAUAGGAGAGAAGAGUGGAAUUCCACGUGUAGCGGCGAAAUGCGUAGAGAUGUGGAGGAACACCAGUGGCGAAGGCGACUCUUUGGCCUAUAACUGACGCUGAGGCGCGAAAAGCGUGGGGAGCAAACAGG